RNAcentral lists this ribosomal RNA (301 nucleotides) under uncultured bacterium. RNAcentral's name for it is "partial 16S ribosomal RNA". It matches the Rfam family "Bacterial small subunit ribosomal RNA", at positions 509 to 807 of the family's 1533-position model. The record is from RNAcentral.
CAGUCGCCGCGGUAAUACGUAGGGUGCAAGCGUUAAUCGGAAUUACUGGGCGUAAAGCGUGCGCAGGCGGUUAUAUAAGACAGAUGUGAAAUCCCCGGGCUCAACCUGGGAACUGCAUUUGUGACUGUAUAGCUAGAGUACGGCAGAGGGGGAUGGAAUUCCGCGUGUAGCAGUGAAAUGCGUAGAUAUGCGGAGGAACACCGAUGGCGAAGGCAAUCCCCUGGGCCUGUACUGACGCUCAUGCACGAAAGCGUGGGGAGCAAACAGGAUUAGAGACCCCAGUAGUCCCUGUCUCUUAUAC